GAUUAACGCUGGCGGCGUGCAUAACACAUGCAAGUCGAACGAUGAAACUUAAAUGAUUUCUUCGGAAUGAACUUAAGUGGAUUAGUGGCGGACGGGUGAGUAACGCGUGAGUAACCUGCCUUACACAAGGGGAUAGCCGUUGGAAACGACGAAUAAUACCCUAUGAAACUAUCACUUCGCAUGAAGCGAUAGUCAAAGUGUUAGCGGUGUAAGAUGGACUUGCGUCUGAUUAGCUAGUUGGGGAGAAAAAAGCCCCCCAAGGCAACGAUCAGUAGCCGGCUUGAGAGAGUGUACGGCCACAUUGGGACUGGGACACGGCCCAGACUCCUACGGGAGGCAGCAGUGGGGAAUUUUGCACAAUGGGGGAAACCCUGAUGCAGCGACGCCGCGUGAUUUAGAAGGCCUUCGGGUUGUAAAAAUCUUUUGUAUAGGAAGAAAAUGACAGUACUAUACGAAUAAGGUCCGGCUAAUUACGUG
Molecule: ribosomal RNA, 477 nt
Filed under: uncultured bacterium
Lineage: Bacteria
Description: partial 16S ribosomal RNA
Rfam family: Bacterial small subunit ribosomal RNA
Source: RNAcentral